Molecule: ribosomal RNA, 1052 nt
Filed under: Sordariomycetes sp. genotype 714 JMUR-2016
Lineage: Eukaryota; Fungi; Ascomycota; Sordariomycetes
Description: eukaryotic LSU rRNA
Rfam family: Eukaryotic large subunit ribosomal RNA (bases 473-1052)
Source: RNAcentral
GGAUCAUUAUAGAGUUUUCUAAACUCCCAACCCAUGUGAACUUACCUUUUGUUGCCUCGGCAGAAGUUAUAGGUCUUCUUAUAGCUGCUGCCGGUGGACCAUUAAACUCUUGUUAUUUUAUGUAAUCUGAGCGUCUUAUUUUAAUAAGUCAAAACUUUCAACAACGGAUCUCUUGGUUCUGGCAUCGAUGAAGAACGCAGCGAAAUGCGAUAAGUAAUGUGAAUUGCAGAAUUCAGUGAAUCAUCGAAUCUUUGAACGCACAUUGCGCCCAUUAGUAUUCUAGUGGGCAUGCCUGUUCGAGCGUCAUUUCAACCCUUAAGCCUAGCUUAGUGUUGGGAAUCUACUUCUCUUAGGAGUUGUAGUUCCUGAAAUACAACGGCGGAUUUGUAGUAUCCUCUGAGCGUAGUAAUUUUUUUCUCGCUUUUGUUAGGUGCUAUAACUCCCAGCCGCUAAACCCCCAAUUUUUUGUGGUUGACCUCGGAUCAGGUAGGAAUACCCGCUGAACUUAAGCAUAUCAAUAAGCGGAGGAAAAGAAACCAACAGGGAUUGCCUUAGUAACGGCGAGUGAAGCGGCAACAGCUCAAAUUUGAAAUCUGGCCCUUGGGUCCGAAUUGUAAUUUGUAGAGGAUGAUUUUGGUGCGGUAUCUUCCGAGUUCCUUGGAACAGGACGCCUUAGAGGGUGAGAGCCCCGUACGGUUGAAUGCCUAGCCUCUGUAAAUCUCCUUCGACGAGUCGAGUAGUUUGGGAAUGCUGCUCUAAAUGGGAGGUAAAUUUCUUCUAAAGCUAAAUAUUGGCCAGAGACCGAUAGCGCACAAGUAGAGUGAUCGAAAGAUGAAAAGCACUUUGAAAAGAGGGUUAAAUAGCACGUGAAAUUGUUGAAAGGGAAGGAUUUGUGACCAGACUUUUUCUGGGCGGAUCAUCCGGGGUUCUCUCCGGUGCACUUCGCCCAGUAAAGGCCAGCAUCGGUUUUCGGCGUGGGAUAAAAGCAGUAGGAAUGUGGCUCUCUACGGGGAGUGUUAUAGCCUAUUGUAUAAUACCGCGCUGGGGACCGA